This 492-nucleotide ribosomal RNA is filed under the name uncultured bacterium. RNAcentral describes it as "partial 16S ribosomal RNA". It matches the Rfam family "Bacterial small subunit ribosomal RNA", at positions 29 to 507 of the family's 1533-position model. The record is from RNAcentral.
AGUGAACGCUGGCGGUAGGCCUAACACAUGCAAGUCGAACGGCAGCACAGUAAGAGCUUGCUCUUACGGGUUGCGAGUGGCGGACGUGUGAGGAAUACAUCGUAAUCUACUUUUUCGUGGGGGAUAACGUAGGUAAACUUACGCUAAUACCGCAUACGCCCUACGGUUGAAAGCAGUGGAUCUUCGGACCUUGCGCGGUUGGAUGCGCCGAUGUCGGAUUAGCUAGUUGGCGGGGUAAAGGCCCACCAAGGCGACGAUCCGUAGCUGGUCUGAGAGGAUGAUCAGCGACACUGGAAGUGAGACACGGUCAAGACGCCUACGGGAGGCAGCAGUGGGGAAUAUUGGACAAUGGGCGCAAGCAUGAUCCAGCCAGACCGCGUGGGUGAAGAAGGCCUUCGGGUUGUAAAGACCUUUUGUUGGGAAAGAAAAGCAGCAGGUUAAUACCACGCUGUUCUGACGGUAACCAAAGAAGAAGCACCGGCUAACUUCGUG